GGCAGACCUAUAAAGAUAAAAAAGGUAUGUAGCCCAUUCAGCUUCAUAGUAACAAUUACAUCAAGAUAUCAAGGAUGAAAUUACAGACCAUUCAGAACUGUCCUGAAGAAGAGCUUUUAUAUAGAAAGACUUAAAUUUAAAUCUUUAGGUUUUCCAGGAUUCCCAGGGGAAAAACACUCCUGCUUUAGACCUUCAAGUGCCUCUUUUCCUCCUUCCCAUUAUCUUUUUUCCAGAUAUCUCAGUUAUUGUAGGUCAUUAGGCAGAGCAAACUCAUCCUCAUCACCUUCCUUUUAUAUCUUUUUGAGAUGGAGAAGAAAAUUUUUGCGCACAGCAUUCCAGAAACAGGUAUACCAUGGAUUUACAGUGCAUGAUAGCAUUCUGCUUUGUCUUCUGUUCCUUUUCUUUUUUUUUUUCCCUCACUAAGUGCUGAGCUAAUAUUUUUAUUGAGUUUUCUGUAGAGCUCAAAUCCUUACUGCCAGAGAUUUGCACCAAGCAAGAACCAAUAACAGUUUUCUUUUAGCUGCUUUUUCUCUUACUGAUAUAUAAUUGCCAUUUUAUCCCCCACUUCUCUUACUUGUUCCAUCAUCUCCUGGUCUUCCUGGCAGGCCUGCAGGACCAAUUGGUCCAACUGACCCUGAAUCACCAGCAGGACCUGGAAAUCCAGGAUCUCCUUGUGGACCUACACAGAAUUAUAAAAACAGGUGAACUGAACACCUUAUGCAACUGACAUCUUAAAUCUAAAACUGCAACUAAAAUUAUAAUUUGGGAAAUACACAAAAGUAAAAUACAGCAACAACUUUUGUCUUUAUGAAACAUUAUUAAAUGUGUAACAAUUUCAUUUAAAGGUGGGAGGAUUUGGUUAAUUUUCUAUGGAUUCUUGCCCAUUUCAUGGGCUCGGUUUUAACUCUUUGUCACUCCAUAGUAUUAUCUUUGCGCUACAUAUUUCAGAAUAUCAAGAGAUGUGCUUUUCCCAAAUAAAUACAUGUAGCAUAUAAAACAAAUGUGCAUCUCAUGUUAUGCACAUUUGGCAGUGCACACAGGGAGGUAAUUUCAGGAUCAUCCUAGUUGAAAUUAUCCAAAUUUUAAAAAGUAUCUUCAAAAUUGCUAUAAUGAAUAAAUUUUAAAAUUGCAAUUACAUAGUGCUAAAGAAAAUCUGUAUCAGAUAUAAAGGGCUUAAUUAAAUUACAAUAUAGGUUCCCCAAGUGUGAGAUGCCAAAGCAAAUCCCUUCCAGGCAGUAGGCUUGGCUGUUCCCCACUGCCUCCUGCUAUGAAAUAAGAACUUUCACGCAUCUCUUCACCACUUAGAUGAUAAAGAUGAGGAUAAAAGGAGCUAUGACAUAAAAACCUAGCCUGAGGUUUAGACAGGAAGGUAAUAAGAUUGACAGGUAUUCUGUUGGGAAGUACUAGUUCCAGGAUUUCAUCCCUGCUAUGCAAUAGAAAGCUCAAUUGCAGUCUAAAAAUCUGUGUGUUGUGGCAACUCUGAAAACAGGAAUUCUAAAUUACAAUGGGAAGGCUGGUUUUCUUAUUUGACAUCCAUUAUCCAGAAUGGGCUUAUUUUUUAUAGCUUUUUCUUAAAUAUGCCUAGGUUCAAUAGCGAGGCAUAGUCCUUGGGUUCUACCUAUGACUGUAUGCACGAAGAUCUUUCAAGCAAACAUUUCGCCUGAAACUUUAAGGUAGUUCCAGUAAGAUCAGUGAGACACAAACAAACACGCAAUGUGGCCCCUGGGAAGAUAAUGUUUUAGGAUUCUGCCUCCUGAAUCUCUAGUGAUCACUUUCAAACACCUUAGCAAAAUAGGUCCUAUGCACUUUAUACAGCAGAAAGACUAGUUAAAACUAGCUACAACCUUUUAUAGGAAGCAGUGAAGUUCCAACAGCUCCAGGAGGACCUGGGGGUCCUUUUUCUCCUGGAUCCCCCUGUAAAAGUCCAAAAAUAAAUUUUACUGAUAGAUACAAAUACACAAUGUGCAACCAUAUAAUUGAAAAUUACAACAAUGGUGGAGUAUGUAAGGAUGUGAAACAUAUCACCUGGGAAACUCCAUUUUGGCAAUUUUCAGCAUUUAAAACCAGACCAAAAGAUAUAAAUAUUCAUAUUUCAGGAUACCAGUGACUAAACAGUAAUAUACCUACUGUUUGAGUCACCAUUCCUGGAGGUGUCUAAAAGAUGUAUAGAGGAGGCUCUUAGGGACACGGUUUAGUGCCAGAGUUGGUUUAUGGUUGGACUUGAUGAUCUUAAGGGUCUCCUCCAAUCGAAAUGAUUCUAUGAUUCUAUUGCACAUAUCUAUUUGACUCUUCACAAUUUGCGACUGCUGCAUUUGACUUCAUUCAUGUAUUGUAAAGAUGAAUCAAUUAUAGUAAAUCAGUACCCUAUUUAAUGGAGAGGUUUUGAUUUAACAACCAAGUUGUAAUUCUUUGCCUCAAAAUUCUAUACCAGAAUUUGGAAAUUACUUCUGUGUUGACAGAUAAGCAUUAAGAAAUGAGGUUUCACAGUCUACAGAUUAUCGAUGGUAAGGGAUACUCAAAGUUCUUAGAAGAAGUUUAAAACAUCUGCAUCAGGAAAACAUAAAAGUGCCUACUAAUGGCAAGGAAAAUCACUUCUGCUUGGAGGAUUUCUGAAUUUGCUUGGCUUUUGAUAUUUAGAAUUGCAAGCAAAACGGAUUUUAGGGAGGUCUUUUAUGUGGCAAAUUGUAUUACAAUUUUGCUUUGUAGAUUAGGAAUCAACGCUGCUCUGUGCAGCAAGUGGGAACUGAGAAAACAAGAAUGUGAAUGUGGGAACUGUGUAGUGAGGCUGUGUGCCUGGGACUGGAGCUCAGGGCCUUUUAGGACACAGAGAAGGAAAAUUGGGACUGCAAAACCGGAUACCCAUUCUUACACAAGUGAAAACAAGGAGUAUGUGCCUCUUUCUAGCCCUUUUUUUUUUUUUUACAUUGACAUCUCUAUGAUAUUUAAACAGUUCUGGAGCUGUCACUGACUGCUGUCCUCUUGACUUUUGGCUGGCCUUUUUCCCUUGACUGUAUCUUGCAGAAUGAAAUAAUGUCACUGUCUCAUCUUUGGCUAUUUUAAACAGGAAUGUAAAUUUGUCUUCCCUAAUGACAUAGAAGAGUCUUCUGUGUGGCAGGAAAGAAAAAAUAAAUGUAGCAUUUUUCUUCCUCUGAUAAACACAAAAAUUAUUAUGAGAUUUAAAAUUAAUUUAAUUAUGAGAAAAGUACCCAAGAUUUGCACAAUAUCACACUGAUUUUAAAAUGACACAACCAGAACACAAGAAUUAAAGAGUCAGUGAGCCAAGGUAAAAAAUGACAGUUCUUGAUAUCUCAUUAAGUGACAAAUUCCAGUGGUGGCCUCUGAAAAUAUCUGUCUUUAGGCUGUUAGGUUUUAUGACGCUAUCUGGCUGACACCUUUGUACGUGCUCUGGUUUCACUUUUGCUACACUCCUAUAUAGUGGGAUAUAUGUGUUUGGAUUAUUUUGUUGACUAUUACUGCCACAAACAUCCAACAGAAGCAUAUCUCUACUGUAUUCUGUAACCUGGAAUCUUCUUAAAAUGAAAGCUUAUAAUCACUUGUCAGUUUUAUUGAUAUCCCUAUUAAGCAUUAAACACAGUGUUUGUUCUGUAGGUUUCUAUAGCUUUAUAUAAUGUCAAAGGCCAAGAACAUUUUGUACUUCCUAUAAAGACCAUUCAUUAUUUUAAUGAGUCAUUCCAUAAGAAGCAGAGAAGAAUGGUCUCUGAUUGACUUCAACAGGACUCAUAUCCUCCAUUGUAUUUUGCCUGAAUUUGCCUUCUGUCUUUUUUCAUAUUUAUAACAGAAAGGAUAAGGUUAGAAGGGAUAUCCGGAGGUUAUCUUGUCCAACCCUCCAUCUCAAGCAGGAUCACCUAGAGCUGGUUGCCCAUCACCAUGUCCAGACAGCUUUAGAAUAUCUACAAGGAUGGAGAUGAGUGCUGAGGGCAAGGAUCAUCUUCCUCAGCCUGCUGGCAACAUUAAUGAUUUUCCUAACACAAGCCAGGUUACCAGUAGCUGCCUUUGCAACAGGGGCAUGUUGCUGGCUCAUGGUCAAGAUCCACACGGUGUUGCCAAUGUCCAGACUUAGGGAUGGAAAGGUAGGCCAACAACUCCUUCGAGGCUCUUCUUUGCUUUAAGAAACAGUUAACAUGUUUUAAAGAUGAAAUCUACUUUGAAUGCAACUGUUGUUUUCCUGAGACUGACUAUUUUUUUUUCUUUCUUUCUUUUUUUCUCUCUUUCUCCUUCCUUCCUCUCUCUCUCAAAUCUGAGUUUAUUUUGGAUUCUAUGUGAAUGUGUUUAUUUCAGAAAAUCUAUGAGAGGAUGGGUUAUCUCAGGAGGGGUGCUAAUCAUAUUCUUGUUCCUCCAGUUUAUGUGAUUAUGAGAUGAAUAGCUGAAGCAGACUAGAUAUAUCUUCACUUUUUAGGAACACUCAGAUUUAUCCAGUUGUUUUUCAAGCAAAAUUACAGCAUCUGUGCAAUCAUUCUGAAUUUUGUACAUCUGCCUGAGUUAACCUGAUAUUUUGUGUCCAUAGUCAAUUAGUUUUCUUUCGCUCCAUGUGUUAGCAACUGGAAUUUCAUCUUUCCAAAGCAUUACCGCCAUCAUUUAAACUCUUCCCUAGUACGAUAUACCAAGAAAUAAUUAUUCUUUGCCUACUCUUCGUAGCGUUAAUUGAUGGCUUCUCAGGGUCUGGGCUCAAUGGAGACUGAUGAAGGCAUGGUUCUGUCUAUACAAUGUAUUGUCUCAACUUUAUUAAUGAUCCCUCAAACUAAAACAAUUUGCACAUCAUGGUGAGUACUUUUUAACAGCAAAACACUUAAGGUUUGAUUCUAGUUUUGGGUAGUAAUGGACUGUAAUGAUCCUUCUGUUACUAAAUAAGAUAUUGGGUGUUUCUGUCUAAUUAGUAUCUAAAUGAUCCCGCAUUGUUGUGAAGCUGCUAAUGGGCAAAUGGCAGAAAAAAUAACACCUAAGGACAUUUUUUUUUUCCCCAAGUACAACAACAUAAAUGAAAUCUUGGCUGAAGAAGCUGAUCUAGCACUCUCCUGGCAGUCCUACCUUAGAAACAAUCAUCUUCUGGUUUUCUGAGAUCUGGUAGUUCCCUGCCUGUGGAUUAUCCGUCAGCAAUAAAGACUCCAGAAUCUUUUUUGUGGCCGCUUCUGCUGAGCAUCCAGGAACUCCUUACUGGGACACCAAAGUUUAACCAUGCUGACAGAAAGGAAAGGAAAUGUAGAAUAGACAGUAAAGAACAACUCUUUCUCCAAGCAAGUGGGCUCUGCCUUUUCUACUCCUGAAGGUAUCCAUAACAUGAAGUCCGUUACACGUCAACAGCUCGACUGGAGACAACACUGAUCUUUUGCUACCAGGCAACAGUCAAUAGGUGUGUAUAAAACAGAUUCAGAAAGGUUUUCCAAAGGGUUUUGAAAUAUUUUUGCAUUCACACUGAUUUAGAUGGCGAUUAAGUUUUAUAGCACAAGUGCUGUUGUUUUUUCCAUCACCUUCUGCUUUGAAAGAUUAACUUAAUAACCACAGAAGGACCCUGCCAGCACCACGGGGGAAAAAAAA
Molecule: long non-coding RNA, 5553 nt
Organism: Columba livia (rock pigeon)
Lineage: Eukaryota; Metazoa; Chordata; Aves; Columbiformes; Columbidae
Exons: 3
Source: RefSeq, a predicted model, not a curated record